AAAUAAUUCAGUCUCCUCAUGGCCAAAAGAUUUCCUCUUUGUUUCAAGCUCUGCUCUUUUUGAAGAGCAAGAAAUCACAGCAACCUUUCAGGUGUUCCAUGUCCUGGAUUUCUCUGUAGCAGCUUCCAAGAGGACUUCUGCAGGGCUCUUAACCUGUUUUAUGUGAAGCAUCAAGCAAGGUUUCCAUUAAGACAGCGGUCUUGAAUCCAAGCUGCCUUCUGUGAGCUGAGGGAUGAACCUGUCUGGGAUUCGGUUUCUAGGAAAUGUUGCAAGUUUCCAGGCAAAAAGGAUUGGCUUCUGCUCUCCGAGCACAGACCUGAGUGUGGUGGACUUCAGAAAGAAUGAGUCUGCAACUCGGAGCUCUUCUGCAAGCCUUCACUGCUCUGCUGGCCAAGUCACCAUAACAUUGGCAUCUCCAAACUGCAGGAUCCUCCUCUUCCCAGUGCCCAUAUGGAUCUGCCUAACGCCCGACUCCUCACCUCCUCCUGCAGAGCACGGGCUGAUCAUAAAGUAAAAUAACAACAAAAUAAAAUCCAUGGGUCAAACUCUUUCCAGCCAGGAAGCCCCAUUUUCUCAAAGCAGGAGGCUUCCAUGGGAAUGCUCUGCCUCUGUUAGGGCCUGCCUGCAGAGAUGCUGAGCAAGAAGCUUUCAUCUGUGCAAAAUCAAGGGCUCAUUGACAAAAGGGUGCAUUCCUCCCACAGAACCAUCUCUUCUGUCUAAGCAACCACACAGCCACCUAUGGAAAAGGGAACGGAGGCCAAAUAGUAAAUCUGACAAAUGUCCACUAUGUACUAGAUUUUCUGGGCAAGGCUUUAAAACAAAGCAUUUUUGUUCUCCAUACCCCCAGCUCCCAGCACAUGACCAGGGCUGUAAAUUACUGUAGAG
Gallus gallus (chicken) is the source of this 885-nucleotide long non-coding RNA. The record is from Ensembl. Lineage: Eukaryota; Metazoa; Chordata; Aves; Galliformes; Phasianidae.